CCGUAGUUAACGCAUUAAGUGCUCCGCCUGGGGAGUACGUUCGCAAGAAUGAAACUCAAAGGAAUUGACGGGGACCCGCACAAGCAGCGGAGCAUGUGGUUUAAUUCGAAGCAACGCGAAGAACCUUACCAGGACUUGACAUCCUUCUGACAGGACCUUAACCGGUCCCUCCUUCGGGCAGAAGAGACAGGUGGUGCAUGGUUGUCGUCAGCUCGUGUCGUGAGAUGUUGGGUUAAGUCCCGCAACGAGCGCAACCCUUGUCAUUAGUUGCCAUCAUUUAGUUGGGCACUCUAAUGAGACUGCCGGGGAUAACUCGGAGGAAGGUGGGGAUGACGUCAAAUCAUCAUGCCCCUUAUGUCCUGGGCUACACACGUGCUACAAUGGCUGGUACAAAGAGACGCAAGACCGCGAGGUGGAGCAAAUCUUCAAAACCAGUCCCAGUUCGGAUUGUAGGCUGAAACUCGCCUGCAUGAAGUCGGAGUUGCUAGUAAUCGUGAAUCAGAAUGUCACGGUGAAUGCGUUCCCGGGUCUUGUACACACCGCCCGUCACACCAUGGAAGCUGGGGGCGCCCAAAGUUGGUCGAGAAAUAGAUUACCUAAGGCGAAAUCAGUGACUAGGGUGAAGUCGUAACAAGGUAACCGUA
This 644-nucleotide ribosomal RNA is filed under the name uncultured bacterium. Its description in RNAcentral is "bacterial SSU rRNA". It matches the Rfam family "Bacterial small subunit ribosomal RNA", at positions 846 to 1504 of the family's 1533-position model. The record is from RNAcentral.